This 77-nucleotide transfer RNA is filed under the name Deltaproteobacteria bacterium. RNAcentral describes it as "tRNA-Pro". It matches the Rfam family "tRNA". Rfam says of the family: Transfer RNA (tRNA) molecules are approximately 80 nucleotides in length. The record is from RNAcentral. Lineage: Bacteria; Pseudomonadati; Myxococcota; Myxococcia.
CGGGGCGUAGCGCAGUCUGGAAGCGCACUUGAAUGGGGUUCAAGCGGUCGCUGGUUCAAAUCCAGCCGUCCCGACCA